GACGAACGCUGGCGGCGUGCUUAACACAUGCAAGUCGAACGGUAAGGCUCCAGCUUUCUGGGUUACACGAGUGCCGAACGGGUGUGUAACACGUGUGUGACCUCCCCUGCACUUCGUGGUAAACCUGGGAAACUGGGGCUAUUACCGGAUAGGACCUUGAGCUGCAUAUUGUGGUGGAGUGAUUUUUCGGUGUGGGAUGGGCCCGCGGCCUAUCAGCUUGUUGGUGGGGUAAUGGCCUACCAAGGCGGCGACGGGUAGCCGGCCUGAGAGGGUGGACGGCCACAUUGGGACUGAGACACGGCCCAGACUCCUACGGGAGGCAGCAGUGGGGAAUAUUGCACAAUGGGCGGAAGCCUGAUGCAGCGACGCCGCGUGGGGGAUGACGGCCUUCGGGUUGUAAACUCCUUUCACCAUCGACGAAGGGUUUCUGACGGUAGAUGGAGGAGAAGCACCGGCUAACUACGUG
Molecule: ribosomal RNA, 466 nt
Filed under: uncultured bacterium
Lineage: Bacteria
Description: partial 16S ribosomal RNA
Rfam family: Bacterial small subunit ribosomal RNA
Source: RNAcentral